Non-coding RNA from Caenorhabditis elegans, 212 nucleotides. The record is from Ensembl. Lineage: Eukaryota; Metazoa; Nematoda; Chromadorea; Rhabditida; Rhabditidae.
CCAACUAACCAGAAGAAUUUGCGACGGAUUCACGUUGUUGUCUUUUUUCGCAAUAAUCACUGCCGGAAGCGACUCGAUUCCAGCGAGACCGUUUAGAAAUGUUCGAGGAGAUUCGAUGGAUUUGCGUCGGAGCCUGUGCAGAUAGAAAUGUGAUACCCUUAUUUCCCAAAAAAAAACCUAGUUUUCUUCCUCCUUACUAUUUGAACGCAAAA